Meriones unguiculatus (Mongolian gerbil) is the source of this 8213-nucleotide long non-coding RNA. RefSeq lists it as uncharacterized. Lineage: Eukaryota; Metazoa; Chordata; Mammalia; Rodentia; Muridae. The transcript is spliced from 8 exons. The record is from RefSeq and is a predicted model, not a curated record.
CUCACCUAGUGAAAGAGAGGAAAGAACAUUUGAUUUAUUCCUUGCUCGUGUUUGUCGAAGAUGCUCUCUUACAGUGCUAUAUAGCGGUGGUGCAAGCGAAAUCUCACCCCUGUUCGUUUCUAUUGGUUCAAUGGCCUGAGACUAACUAGUCUACGCAUUCUGGCCUCUGAUUAGGGAGCACUAUGAUCUCAAGCAGUUGGCCAUUUCUGCUGUGCGUAUAGGGGCCAGAGUCCUAAUGGAUCACAAACUACUGGCCAAGAGGUAGAAUCCUACCUUCCUCCAGAGGAUCAUCUACCCAACUGCUAAGGCUGGGUAUGGAUUUUUAUUUACACAAAUGUUUUGAUGUCAAUGAUAAGUCUGAUAGUAAUAUUUGCUAGUGCUUGAAUUGAAGGCUGAAGUGAUUAUUAUUCAAAUAAAUUUAGGAGCUUUGUUUACUUGUAGAAUUCGUUUUAAUUACCUUUAAUGAGUUUUCACUUUGGAGUCUUUCAAGUUUUUCUUCUCUUUUACAUUUGUUAACUUUCUUGGCAGAUGAUACUUAAAUUAUUUGGCACUUAGAUUUACUUUCUUCCAAAUUGAUCUAUUGAACUACACUUAAAAUUCGAGUAUUAUGACACAGAUACUGUUAAUGUAAAGUUAACUUUGUGACUGGCUAUCAAAAGGAGUAUUUGAAUAUCUACACUAGUAAGGCUUUGCUUUUUGUUGCCCUCCUUGAUGCUACAAUGACUAAUGACUUUACUCAUUAGGCAGGAGCCUUGAAUUGGAGUGGUCUGUGAUCUCUUAUCAGAUUUACUAUUGGAAUGUUAAUGCCCACGUUUCAGCUUUCUAUAUUUUCCUGCAAGUUGUAGCAUCCAGUUUCUCCUCAGGGCCAGCAAACACUGCUACAACUGCCCCAGCCCCAGCCCCAGCCCCAGCCCCAGCCCCACCCAGCCCCAGCCCCAGCCCCUGCCCCAGCCCCUGCCCCUGCCCCAGCCCCUGCCCCAGCCCCAGCCCCUGCCCCAGCCCAACCAAACCUCAGCCCAGCCCUUGUCCCAGAUUCUCUCAACCUUAGUGUCAUUCCCAAAACUCCAGUCCCCUUCUCCUUAAAGAUAGCCCAAUCUUCACUGAUUGAGUGCUAAAAAUGCAGUACCCAUUCCUUCUCUGGUAAAACUGAGGUAUCCUCUCUGUAGCCCCUCCAUGAUGACUGCCUGAGUCAAAAUUUUCACUUAAUGCAUAGAGUUCUACUUUAUCUGUCCGUGCACUCUUGUCCUUCAUGUUAACAAAGAAACACGGAUGGAACAAGAGUUUUAUAUCAGAGAAUUGCCAUCAAGGCACCAUGUCCUAAGUCUCCUUUCCUUGAGGAAGGAAAAACCAUUCUGUCACUGUUGCAGUAGCCACAGUCCCAAGUGUAGUGCUCAGCUGUCUUUUCUUACAUGUUAUUUUGAGCACUCUUGCACCGAAUAAUUCAAACUGCCCAGAAUUUAUCCAUUGGAUCAGACGGUACCUCUUUGAGCACCAUGUGCAUUCAGCAAAGGACCAAACGAGUCUCCUAUCAGACAAUUAAGGUGCUCAGUCCCAAUUCUCAAAGCCUUGGCCAUUAAAGGGGGCCCUACAUAUUGCUUGCAUGCUGGCCUGGGUGCUCUCACCUUAGGUCACAGCUUUUAAGUUGAUAACAGACAUAAAUUUAUUUGUCGAUGAUGCUGUAUACUAGUCCCAUCGGUUACCCUUACUUACUUCAGCUGAAAACUGCACUGGGACAGCUUAUGUGGAUAAUUCUAAGAACUGAAACCUUUGCUAAAGGUUCACGCUUUACUUGUACUUUUAGUAAAGAGGGUGCUGAUUACCUAAAGCCUCAUACCGCUGUGCAAAGCUGAAAUUGCUCAAGUUUCCUUCUGUUACUAACCAAGAUCCCAUACUCUCUCACCCUAAUGGGUGACAACAAAGGGGAUCGAGGUGCCAAACGAUAAAGUUACUUCAUUGUUCUGGCCUUUUGCCUAUGCUGGAGUUCAAACCUAGAAUCUGUGUACAUUAGUAAAGCACUGUCACACAGGUACAGCCCCACCUUGUGGUGGUUUUGAGAAUAAAGUCUAUGCAGCCUGAGCUGUGCUGGCACUCAGUCCUGCUUCUCAGUCCCAGUGACUGGAAUUACAAGCAUUGCCACCCAUGUCUGCCUGUUUUCAUGUGCACAGCUGCAUUUAUCCCUCAUACUAAGCACUGGAUAAAGAAACCAAAUUCAAGUCGUUUCUUUUGUAUUCAGCAAGACCUUUGAACUCAGAUUCAAUCUGUUCUGUUUUUAAUUUCCAGGCUGGCCUAGAACUUACUGUAUAGCCCUGGCUGGCCUUGAGCUCAGGAUCUAGCCGUUGCUUCACAAGUGCUGGCAUAACUGGUGUCUAACUCUGUGAUCGCUGAUGUGCAUACUUCAUUUCACUGUGGAAGUAUGCAUCUGGCCACACCCUUACCCACUCGUUUAUAUUGCAGCAGGAGGUGCCUAGUCCUUAACAUAAAAGUGCACAGUGUUAACUGUCUCGUCCAUAUUCGCAUGAUGUCCACAGUUGUGCCUUUCAGAUCAGGACCCCUGUAUACAUCAAAGCGAAGGGGCUCAUUGACAUAAAGUAUCUUUCUUGACUACAGAUUGAAAUACCAAUACUGUCAGUGGUCCUUCAGGUGAGACUCCUGUCUCUGAUAGUUCAUAUCCACUUAAAGCCCCUUUCUCAAACUAAUGUACGUAAUGGCGACUUGAGGGUCAGAAUGACCCUCACUUUGAAGUACAGCAAUGGCGUCAACCUGUAAGGUCCCGUUUUGUGGCUUGCUAAUAAUGUCUGAUUGUAUUUGUCCUUUUCUGUUCACUACAAAAGGACGUCGCUGACCACUCUUAUUUAUGCCCUUCCCUUUCAGCAGGGAAUGCACAUUGCCACACUUUAACUGUAUGAACAGUAAAACUGUAAUGGCCACCACCACAUACCUUGAGUAUUAGUGGUCAUUAACUGCACGGGUCUCAUUCCAUUUGAAUAAGAUCCUACUCUCAGACCCUUUUCAGUACAGCAAGGGUCACUCAUCUCUUGGUUUCUCCAUCUUCCUGAACAAUGGAUAAGGAUAUUCCCUCCUUUUCACUAUAUUUAAUUUCUAGGAGCGGCAAUACUUUAAUGUUUUAAUAUUUGCAUAAAGAGUGGUUUUCAUUGACUAUACUAUGUCUCUUUAACAUUAAUGUAAAUAAUAGGGACACAAUUGAUUAAUUUUUUAAUAAAAAUAUUUGGGUGGUUAUCCAUAACCUUAUUACUUUUAGGACCAUUGUAUCUCUUUCGCUACUGCAAAGGAUACUGUUUAUUAAUAUAUACAGUGAAAAUUUUCCUUUGUCAAAGGUCAUACCCCUUCACCUUUCAUUUGCAGUACAUCAGGGAAUUCUGAUCAACCAAGGCUGUCUUCUUUGGACUGUUACUAUGUAGUAUGUAUUUCCUCCUGCUCUGUGCACUAGAAAAGGAUCCCACUCACUUCCUUAUCUUCAUCAGGAAGUGUCACUACUGAAGACUUUGAUUUGGAAAGUUCACAGGAACAUAAUGUCUAAGCAAGCACUUCUCCCAGAACCCCUGUACCUUUUCCUCAGCUUUAAAGCAGAAAGGUUUUUAUUAAGUGUCCUUCAUUUGGACCUAAGUGUGCAUUUAUGUAUGCAGUUGGCCAUCAUUACCUUUGGAGUAGGAUUUUACAUCCUUGUACUCCUUAGACAUCAGAGGCGCGUUAACAAUUUUUGAGCACUUCUCUUGUGAAUAUUAAUAUAUACGCUUAUAUGUGGACCUGUAUAGCAGAAAAGGUUAUGAAGUUUUACCUUUUUACUGGGGCUGCUGAGGAAGAGUAGCUAUUCAUAAUCUCAGCAUCUGGAUAACUACUAUGCAAACAUGUCAAGGAUCUCUGUACUGUCUUGGUCAGUAAGCCCCAGAAUUGUUAGUGUGAAUAUUUAUAAUUAUGAAUGCCUACAGUACUAUGUCUUCAUACCCCCUUUGCAUUACUGCAGAGACUGCCGAGCAACUUUAAAUAUCCAGGACUGUUUAAUGAGCACAGUGACUAUGACCAAUGGCUUGGUUUUUUCCUGAAACUUAUUUUUGGGAUUAUUAAUAGGCACAAUGGCAAUUCUCCAUAGUUUAUUUUCUACUCUUGACGUAUUGAACAAAUCCCCUCCUGGUUUCCCUUUGGCAUGAUAAAGUAAAAUACUGCAGUAUGUCUAUGCCUUGUACACCCAACAGUAACCCAAUUUCCAUCCUUUUGCAUUGCUCUAGUAUAUAAAAAAUCCUAAAGAGCCACAGUCUCAUUCUUUAUAUAGUCUUCCUUUUUGCCCAGCCCCUAGAGUGUCCAAGGUCCACUCCUCUUUCUGGACUACUAAUUCUCACAGUCCAGUCGUUAAAGAAGACUGUGUACCCUUUCCCCAUCCCAUCACUGUCCCUUUUGCUUCUUGGUUGGAUAUGAUUGACUGGGCAAGGCCCUUCUCUUGACUUAAAGUCAACGAUCACAGAAGCCAUCAGUUUACCCCCUUCAUAUUGCUGUAACGCAUCAGUUGCACUUUCUUUGGUCCUAACCCAUUGAAGAGGCACAGACCUCCACUUCCUUCAUUAUUCUGAGUAAUGUCAAUUACCCAAAUCUCCCUGUGUGUCAUUAAUGAGCACAGUAAUGUUUGAUUAUCCAACUUUUCAGUACAUCUGUCCAAGAGUUCCCUACUACUUUGAUGUAUUUAUACACACUAAACAUCAAAAGUAGGCCAAAACUUAAGUGGAUGAGCCUUCACCAUUUAACUUGCAUUUCUUAAUUACUCCAAUUCAAACUGCUGGCACAGUCUUAAGUCCAGGAACCAUUCCUGCCUACAUUUAUUAAUGCUUUACUGUGCAAAAUUUUCCAGGCAAGUCGCUCAGGGAGCUGGAUUGCCACCUUUUAUAUGGGGCUUUCCUUAUACAGUAUCGACUGAAAAUUGUCUCCCUGAGAAGGAAGCUUAGCACAUUUCUCUACAUAUCCUCCAGGAGCCAACUGCCGGCUGAAGAGACUUAAACCCAGUUCUGUGUAUUGCUACUGUACAGUACCACCUGCCAGAAAGGUUAUUGAUGCUUCUGCUCCUUAAGAAAGGUAUCUGGAUUGUCAGGUAGACUUGCUUAUGCUGUCACUAACUUUUCUAAAAUAAAAAUAGCCGUUUGUGUUAUGUAGCUGAUGACCAAGCACUCUCGUUUUACUGAGGGUGGUGUGUUUGUGGCUAGAUCACUUCAACUGUUGUUAUUCCAAUACCAUCAAAGCAGUUGGAGAGCGGAAUGCUUAAGAGCAGUAUCUUUGGUCUGCACUCAAGUUUGAAGAACAAAAAUCAAUCUUUGUGUGGCCUUUAAAAUCAUUAACUUCUAGGAAGGCUAUGUAGCCUUUCUAAUCAUUACAUCUUGUGUGCAGACUGAGCACCAGCCCCUAACUUAUUUUUAAAAGGUGACUGCGAAACGAUUAAACAAGAGAACAUAUCAAGUUGUCUUUGAAAAUUAUUGGCCAUCGCAUUUAAUUAAUUCACUCUAUUUGCCAUUAAAAUCUGGCCCAGAUUUGAAGUACCUUGAAAAGAACCACUCUAAAGUGGGAACUUAGCAUUGAGAUGAUGGAACCUGUUUUCCCGCAUUAUGUUUUAAAACAAGAUCUAAUCAUUCAUUCAUUUGAGCAUACACUUCAAAGAGAGAUCUGUCUAGAAAGAAAUGAUUUUUCUCUAUCGUAAGGGUAUUUUGAGGCCGCCGAGUAUUUUUUUUAAGCUAGUGUGUGUGUGUGUGUGUGUGUGUGUGUGUGUGUGUAUGUGUAUGUAUGUAUAUGUGUGUGCGUGCAAGUACGCUCCUUGAGUAUCUACAUACACACAGCGAUCAGACAACAGUUGAAGCUGGUUCUUCUAUCUUGUGGCUCCUGGAGAUCAAACUCAGAUCAUCAGGCUUGGCAGCAAGUGCCUUUUACCCUCUGAGCCAUCUUGCCAGACUGCUGCUGAGUAUUUAAUGUGAUGUUGCUGAUGAAAAUAGUCAACACAACAGCAGUUCUUCAAAGGUAUUGAAAAAUGAUGCCAUUUUUCUGAGAAGGAUAUCAAGAAACUCACCCAGCUCAAGAUCCAGGUUGAACUACAUACAGCUCUUCAGACAGUUACAGAAGAAUCUCCGGCUGUUAAGAAUAUAGGCUGAAUUUGGACGGACUUGGUUUUGUGCCCCUGAAUCGAGAAGAAGGAUUGCCCAAUUUUAGAAGAGUGAUGGCUGUGAGACGGCAUCUAAAGGAUCGGUCUGUGCAUGAAACUCAAGGACGGCCAGCCGCUGAAACAGGCUUCAUUCAAAUUCAACAGAUCUUUCCUUUGGAGACUCUGGACAAGCUCCAGUCAAUCUGAACAAAUAACUUGGAGGCCAUAUGGAGAAAGGAUUUUCCCUUGGAAGUGUGGGCUUGUGGCUUUGCAGUGCUGGUGAUCCCUAGGUGGAGAUGGAGCAUGAAGAUCCUCCAGGGGAAUGGCUCACCACCCCUGGGCAACAGGCCUAGCCCAGGAGAUUUUAAGGAGACACUUCCUGAACCCAGCGUGGAAGAUAAAGAUAAAGACAAUCACUCUACAUAAAGACAGGAGAAAAGCUGCUGCAGCAAUGGCAGUGAUCACACGACCAAGUCAUUCUACUCUGUCUGGUUCUCCAAGUCUCCCAGGAAGCUCUGGAGGAGAACAUCGCCAGCUGUUCACAUUUUUCAGGAUGCACUGUGCUCCUACUCCACCUACCAAAUCGUUACCCCGCCCCAAAGCUGGGUCAACGGCAGAGUGAAACACCGUGAGGCCAGCUUUACAACCCAAGGACUAACAUGCGUGGAUGCAGCAUCUUAAAACAGAAUGAAACUUUGCUUACUUCUUUCCUUAGUAAAGUGUGUAUUGUGCUGCAUUUCUGUUUCUGGAUUUAUACAUCUGUUUCUUCCUUGCUUUGUGUGUCUUGUUUUAUGCAUCUCUUUCUGCCUUGAUUUCUGUCUAAUUCUUUGAAAUGUGCCUUUCUUCCUUGCUUUGUAUACCUUUUUUGCCUUGGUGUGUCUUUCUUCUUUGCCUUGUGUGUCUUUCGUCUUCUUUGCUUUGUGUCCCUCUUCCUUGCUUUGCGUGUCUUCCUUGCUUUGUGUAUGUUCCCUGUUUUGAUGUCUGCGUCUUCCUUAAGUGUCUCCUUCUUCUCCAUCUACAGUGUGUCUUACCAAUUCCCAUGUUGCUCGUUAAUUUCUCUCUUGUAGAGCUUUGUGCUUUGUUUACCGUUUGCUUACCUGUGUGAUCUGUGUCUCAUCUCAGUCUUUUCUAGCUGGUUGCUUUUUCUCUUAGCUCUCUCUCCAUUCACUUUUUCUGACUUUCAUGACUCCCUUUGGGUCACAUGUGUGUAUCCCUUUCUUCCUUGUGCUCACCUCACUUGUUUUUCUCUGAAGUGUUUGUCAGUCCUUUGAUUCAACAUUUCACACCUUUCUUUAUGCUGUUUCUAUCAGCACAUACCUCUGUUUACUACAUUUCCUUUCUGCCUUUAUUGGGCUGUUUUCUCUUUUGUGCUCCUAUAUGUCUGUGUUAUUUGUGGUUUCUCUUUGCUAUUUGUGGUUUCUCCUCUCAGCAAUCCUGCUGUGUGCAUGCUUGAUUUCCUUUCUUUCUCUUCUACUUCCCCCUUUCUACUUCAAGCAAUCCAGUCUCUUUACAAGUCUGUGUCUCCCUCUCCUAUCUGAUGUAGUCCUCUCCUGGAUAUGUCUUUGUGUGUGUGUGUGUCUGUCUGUCUGUCUUGUGUGACAGGGCUCUUCCUAGCCCCUUUCCCAAUAGGUACAGAAUGUCACCUGUGGAGCUGUUCUCCAGAUCAGACCACCCUGUGAAAUAAUCUACGACGAAACCCAGCACCCCGGUCAGGACAGAAGAAGAUCUGAAAUGAACCAUGUAAAAGGCCCAAAGACAGAUGUUUUCUUCUGCCACCAACAUGACUACCACCGAUUAAGCAAAAAUAUGAACAUCCUAUGGUCAUCUGCUUUGGUCACAUCAAUGAACUUGGAGACAAAUUUGCUGUUGCUAAAGACAAUUUCAUCAUCUUCCCACCAACUUUGAAAGACACUUGGACUUGUGAACUGAUGUGGACUGCAGAACUCAUUGACUCUUCGGGUGUUUUGAAGACUAAAAAAAUGUUGCUUAGAAGGGAUGACCACCAACAUGUCACAAUGAGUCAGUGGGUGGCUGGCUGGCGGAUCUAGUUUGUUGUCAAAUAAAACACUUUGUUUUGAACCCA